This 468-nucleotide ribosomal RNA is filed under the name uncultured bacterium. RNAcentral's name for it is "partial 16S ribosomal RNA". It matches the Rfam family "Bacterial small subunit ribosomal RNA", at positions 28 to 507 of the family's 1533-position model. The record is from RNAcentral.
GACGAACGCUGGCGGCGUGCUUAACACAUGCAAGUCGAACGGAAAGGCCCUGCUCUUGUGGGUUGCUCGUUUGGCGAACGGGUGAGUAACACGUGUGUAACCUGCCCUUGACUUUGGGAUAACUUCAGGAAACUGGGGCUAAUACCGGAUAUGAUCUCCUGCUGCAUGGUGGGGGUUGGAAAGUUUCGGCGGUUUGGGCUGGACUCGCGGGUUAUCAGCUUGUUGGUGGGGUAGUGGCUUACCAAGGCUUUGACGGAUAGCCGGCCUGAGAGGGUGAACGGCCACAUUGGGACUGCGAUAGGGACCAGAAUCCUACGGGAGGCAGCAGGGGGGAAUAUUGCACAAUGGGCGGAAGCCUGUUGCAGCAACGCCCGGUGCGGGAUGCCGGCCUAUGGGUGGUAAACCGCUUUCGAAGGUGACAAAGCGUGAGUGACGGUAAUGGGUAAAGAAGCACCGGCUAACUACGUG